This 191-nucleotide unclassified non-coding RNA is filed under the name Borreliella bissettiae. Lineage: Bacteria; Pseudomonadati; Spirochaetota; Spirochaetia; Spirochaetales; Borreliaceae. The record is from RNAcentral.
UAGGUUAUUGCCAGGGUUUUUAUUUUUAUAUUUUUAAUCUUGAUUUUAUUUUUUAUGUUAUUUAAAUAACAUAAAAAAUAAAAUAUAUAUUGACAUGGAUUAAACAAAGAUAUAUAUUAUUUUAUGUUNUAUAAACAAAUUGGCAAAAUAGAGAUGGAAGAUAAAAAUAAAAACCCUGGCAAUAACCUACU